Molecule: ribosomal RNA, 478 nt
Filed under: uncultured bacterium
Lineage: Bacteria
Description: SSU rRNA
Rfam family: Bacterial small subunit ribosomal RNA
Source: RNAcentral
AGGACAAACGCUGGCGGGGUGCGUGAGACAUGCAAGUCGGACGGGGUUCUAGCGGGCUUGCUCGGUAGAACCUAGUGGCGGACGGCUGAGUAACGCGUAGGUGACCUGCCCGGAAGUGGGGAAUAACUGCCCGAAAAGGGUGGCUAAUACCGCAUGUGGUCGUCGAAUCAGUUCGCCGACUAAAGGAGAAAUCCGCUUCCGGAGGGGCCUGCGUCCGAUUAGCUAGUUGGUGAGGUAACGGCCCACCAAAGCGACGAUCGGUAGCUGGUCUGAGAGGAUGAUCAGCCAGACUGGGACUGAGAACGGCCCAGACUCCUACGGGAGGCAGCAGUCGGGAAUUUUGCCCAAUGGACGAAAGUCUGAGGCAGCAACUCCGCGUGAGGGAUGAAGGCCUUCGGGUCGUAAACCUCUUUUCUCAGGGAAGAUACAAGACGGUACCUGAGGAAUAAGCCACGGCUAACUACGUGCCAGCAGCCGC